This 1344-nucleotide long non-coding RNA is filed under the name Mustela putorius furo (domestic ferret). RNAcentral's name for it is "lncRNA (ENSMPUG00000028092.1)". The record is from RNAcentral. Lineage: Eukaryota; Metazoa; Chordata; Mammalia; Carnivora; Mustelidae.
CGCUAUCUUCACAGGAUGGUAUGAAAUACUGGUUAUGUUCAGUAAAACAUCAACGCCAAAACAGAGGUCCAUGACUGCUGGCUGCAGCCUCCUUGUGCCGGUGCAGCCAUGACUGAUAAGCAGUGGGUCUCCUUGUGCCAUUGAAUUACUUGUAUAAAAUGAAGAACCUGGAAGUUGCAAUGUCAUGGUGCUCUCCCUUACCAAAAGCAAAACAAAACAAAACAAAAACCCAAAACUUGAUGGACUGUAGUGACGUCAGGGUUUGAAAUUCUUUUAUUGAUUGCACCUCUUGCUAAUUCUAAGAUUAGUCUGUGUGGCCAAAACUGGCCAGCUAUUUAUCAAACCCGUUUCCUUUUCUUCCGGGGCACAGUGCUGCAUUGUAUUUUUCCAGUUAAUCCUGCACCUAGAUUCAGCACCAUGAGCGUGUUCUGCCCAGUCAUAUGUAAGCGGAAGUAAUGGGUGCUUUCUGGGCCUGGCCCAUCCAAACCACCUGUUCAAAAUUCUUUGUACUGUUUCUCCUUCUGCUGAAUUGACGGGGAUGCAUGCCGUUCUUGUUGAAGACAGAACAAUUCAAAAGAAGGAGCUCAGGUCCUGGAAUCACUGAGGGGAGGAGAGCAAUGAUCGUGAACGUGUGAGCUUGUGUGUGCAAGAAGUAAAUUUCUCCUGCAUUGGAGCCAUUGUAGGUUUUGAGGUUUGUUUGUCCCAAUAGAGUUUGUCAUCCUAAUUGCAUUGGCUAAUUUCAUUCAUCUUGAUUAGAAAAUAGGAUCUCCAGGAAGCACUUGAAAGUUCCAAGAAGAACAGAAAUUCUGAACUGAAGUUCUAGAAGCUUCCCUUAGUGGAUGACGAUGUAUGCGUGGGAGCAACAUGGAUGACAGAGACUGAUAAGGUUGAGUCAGGGUCUGCCAUUUCAAAUAAUGACGUUACCACCUGGUUGUGUCUCAAGCCAAAAAUCUGGGAGGCAUUCUUGAUUCUCCCCAUUCCUGAAUGCCAUGUCAGCCUCAUCAGUGAGUCUUGUCUACUGUGUCUCCAAAACAUACCCCAUGUGUGUCCACUUCUCUCUACUUCCAGUGUUGCCAAGGCUGAGCCGCCCUCAUCUCUCACCCAGAUGUGGCUGCAGUAGCUCCUCAGUGAUCUGCCUGCUGUCACUCUCACCUCUAGAACCUGUUCUCCAUGUAGCAGCCAGCAUGAACCCGUUCUCCAUGUAGCAGCCAGCAUGAUCAUAAAAAAAUAUAACUUCACCUGUCUCUCACCUGAAAACCUUCUGAUAAUUUCUUACCAAAUGUAGAAUAAACACACCCUGUUUGAACAUUUGUUUUCAUGGUGCCUUAGUCUGUUUGGGCCGCC